UACAGAGGUCCCAAGCGUUGUUCGGAUUCAUUGGGCGUAAAGGGUGCGUAGGCGGCGCGGUAAGUCGUGUGUGAAAUCUCGGAGCUUAACUCCGAAACUGCAUUCGAUACUGCCGUGCUUGAGGACUGGAGAGGAGACUGGAAUUUACGGUGUAGCGGUGAAAUGCGUAGAUACAAUCAAGAACUCCGAUUGCGUAGGCAGCUAACUAGGCUGUAACUGACGCUGAGGCACGAAAGCGUGGGGAGCGAACAGG
This 253-nucleotide ribosomal RNA is filed under the name uncultured bacterium. RNAcentral's name for it is "partial 16S ribosomal RNA". It matches the Rfam family "Bacterial small subunit ribosomal RNA", at positions 524 to 776 of the family's 1533-position model. The record is from RNAcentral.